CAUUAUGGAUGAUGAGAAAUUCAAAUUACAGUUAUCCCUGUCUGAUUCAUUGGUGAUGAUUCUUAUCAACUCUGACAUCUUU
Telopea speciosissima is the source of this 82-nucleotide small nucleolar RNA. RefSeq annotates it as small nucleolar RNA R38. The record is from RefSeq and is a predicted model, not a curated record. The transcript has a single exon. NCBI's taxonomy places the organism in Eukaryota, Viridiplantae, Streptophyta, Magnoliopsida, Proteales, Proteaceae.